Molecule: ribosomal RNA, 453 nt
Filed under: uncultured Streptococcus sp.
Lineage: Bacteria; Bacillati; Bacillota; Bacilli; Lactobacillales; Streptococcaceae
Description: bacterial SSU rRNA
Rfam family: Bacterial small subunit ribosomal RNA
Source: RNAcentral
AAGCGGUGGAGCAUGUGGUUUAAUUCGAUGCAACGCGAAGAACCUUACCUGGGCUUGACAUCCACGGAACCUGCUGGAAACAGUGGGUGCCUUCGGGAGCCGUGAGACAGGUGGUGCAUGGUUGUCGUCAGCUCGUGUCGUGAGAUGUUGGGUUAAGUCCCGCAACGAGCGCAACCCCUAUUGUUAGUUGCCAUCAUUCAGUUGGGCACUCUAGCGAGACUGCCGGUAAUAAACCGGAGGAAGGUGGGGAUGACGUCAAAUCAUCAUGCCCCUUAUGACCUGGGCUACACACGUGCUACAAUGGUUGGUACAACGAGUUGCGAGUCGGUGACGGCGAGCUAAUCUCUUAAAGCCAAUCUCAGUUCGGAUUGUAGGCUGCAACUCGCCUACAUGAAGUCGGAAUCGCUAGUAAUCGCGGAUCAGCACGCCGCGGUGAAUACGUUCCCGGGCCUU